This 394-nucleotide ribosomal RNA is filed under the name uncultured bacterium. RNAcentral describes it as "partial 16S ribosomal RNA". It matches the Rfam family "Bacterial small subunit ribosomal RNA", at positions 338 to 729 of the family's 1533-position model. The record is from RNAcentral.
CCUACGGGUGGCAGCAGUGAGGAAUAUUGGUCAAUGGUCGAGAGCCUGAACCAGCCAAGCCGCGUGAGGGAUGAAGGAUCUGUGUAUCGUAAACUUCUUUUGUCUGGGAACAAAGUCAGGGACGUGUUCCUGGUUGUAUGUACCAGAUGAAUAAGCAUCGGCUAACUCCGUGCCAGCAGCCGCGGUAAUACGGAGGAUGCGAGCGUUAUCCGGAUUUAUUGGGUUUAAAGGGUGCGUAGGCGGUUCAUUGAGUCAGCGGUGAAAGUUUGUGGCUCAACCAUAGAACUGCCGUUGAAACGGGUAGUCUCGAGUAGAAUUGAGGUAGGCGGAAUGCGUGGUGUAGCGGUGAAAUGCAUAGAUAUCACGCAGAACUCCGAUUGCGAAGGCAGCUUAC